AACCUUUCUCGGCCUUUUGGCUAAGAUCAAUUUUAGUAUCUGUUCUUAUCAAUUUAAUAUCUGAUAUGUAAGGUACACCCUCAUAACAAUAUUAAAUUUAUUUUUUAUAGGAGAGGGUCCACCACAGUGGCUCGCCCGUGUCUUGCACUACUGCACGGGCUGGCGCACCCCAA
Non-coding RNA from Triticum aestivum (bread wheat), 173 nucleotides. The record is from Rfam. NCBI's taxonomy places the organism in Eukaryota, Viridiplantae, Streptophyta, Magnoliopsida, Poales, Poaceae.